AAAUAUAUAUAUAGUCAGUGAUAAUCGUCGGUGGAAUCGACAAAAAUUGCCACGUCCAAAGGAUCGACAGGAGGAUCAGUGAUGCCCGCCAACUGCACGUGACACGUGGAGACCUUUCCAAGCCUUUGUACGCCGACGACGA
Long non-coding RNA from Diprion similis, 142 nucleotides. RefSeq lists it as uncharacterized. The transcript is spliced from 3 exons. The record is from RefSeq and is a predicted model, not a curated record. Lineage: Eukaryota; Metazoa; Arthropoda; Insecta; Hymenoptera; Diprionidae.